AUUUGCUUCUUCCCAGAGACUCACCCUUCUCUUGCCCUUAUUUUCACUUCAGAGCUCGGUGACACAUUUUGUCACUUGAGGAUGUAUUGUGGUAAACAUCCCAGACCGCUCGUUCGUUUUGUUAUGUUGACAGUAAACACUGGUUUCUAUUCACCAGUACAGUCAAAUUAAAUCAGAACGUCAGUGGUUGGCUUUCUUUUCUAUCGACUCUGCAACAAAAACGAAUAAAAACACAGGCAGGUGCAGAACAACUAAAGACGUGCGGAGUGACUACUGAAAAUGGGAACUGUGAGGCAUGUACUACCUGGGAAAGCUGCCAACUGCUGACAAAAGGCUUCACUGCACGGUUCUGAGAGAAGCCUUUAACUCAUUUGCUCUGAAAUGCUUCAGGAUAUAUCUGGCACUGAAUUGUUUGGCCAACUGUAGAUAAAUCUGUCAAACUUUUGGCUUUGUUACAAGACAGCAUGUAAGUAGUAACAUCUUAUUCCUUUACCCACUCCCAGUACCCAAAUCAAACAAUCAAGUGAGAUGUCUAUUGGAUGACAUAUAAUCUACAGUCUACAGUAUAUAGAGCGAGUCAGCUCUUUGACUUUACCUCAAAGCAUGGCUCAGUCUACUUGUAUGCAUAUUUCAGGUGGAUUUUAUAUCUUUAGUAGGAGCGUAUCAGCACAAUUUUGUGACUUCAUGAUUUCUUUUCCUGCCUCCCUUUCUGCUUGCUGUCUCUCCCUCUUGGCAGCAGGGCAAAAGUGGGCAGGGAGAGAGGAGGGCAUGGCCCAGAAACUGCUCUCAAGCCCCAGCCCCUGUUCAAGUGGGGUUGCUUGCUGGUACACUACUCUGCCUUUCCCUCGUCUUGCAAUCGAGAGAGAGGGAUGUGGAAAUGCAUUCUUGUCUCAUUUCUAACCCACUUUUUUUUUUUCUUUUUUUUUUUUUUUCCGCCGCCACCAUGGCCUAAUUCUCUGCGGGUGAACACUAGCCUGACCUGUACAAAAACUCACCUCCAGGUAUUUGUCAUUUUUGAUUCUGCCUUUGUUUGGGCCUUGGUAUUCGUCUUUGUACUGAAGUCUCCCUUUAUUCAUUUCUGUUGCAUUUUUACACUUCUCGUACUGACACCUUCCACACUGUACACGUGUCUGCUUCGCUUCCACCGAACACAAUGCCUAAAUCUCCACCAUUUCCGUUCGAUUGUGACACACAUCGGGAUUUUGUUUUGAAUAAUGAAGUUUUUUUUUUGGAUUAAAAGCAUUAAGAAAUAAUGACCAAAGCCUUUGUGUAUAGUUAGUGUAAUGAGCAGUCUGUUUAUGAAGCAUGGUUCGAUAAAACACAUGCCCUGAGUAAAAAGACAUUUUAGUGGCUGUGUUACUGCCUCUUAAAGUACUGUAGUAAAAAGCAUCAUUUAAGUAUAAUUUACCACAAGUUGGAGCCUAAAGACACUACAACUCCAGUGGCUACAACAAACAAGUUUCACUCCAUCAAAAGUGAUUAUUACCUCAACGUUUCAAACAGGAAAUUCUAGAGAUAAAAAAGCAUUUAGGCCUUUUUUUAUUAAACAUUUUGGUUUCUGUGUUGCAGGAAUGCUACGUAGGUGCAAGAAACCAGAGGCAACAAAAAAUAUCCUUCAGCUGUACUGUGGCUACUGUUCGCCGUCUAUUUUACCACAAAAUGAAAAAGGAUCCCACAUGGGUGGAAUAAGCAUUUUGUUCAGCUGGAAAGUUUCCACUGCCACCUGCAAAAGUAUCUGUCCUUAAGGCUGAGGUAGUAGAUUGAAUAGUUGUGGGGUUUGGGUCCUCCCUCUGAGAUAACUAUACAGUCUACUGUCUUUCCUAAGGAGACAGGUUAAUCUGCUAUGAUGCUGAAGCCUGUAUGCACACGGGAAGCUCCAUGGAUAAAGGAACUCAUGCACUGAGUGAAGUACAUUUAAGAGAUCAUCCAUCCCUCAGGAGGAGAUUUCAGGCACAACAAAGACUUUAUGUAUUUAGAAGAAACAAUGGUUUAUUCUAACAUGUAGUACAUUUGCUACAUAUUGAAUGAGAUCUUGUUUUUAAGGAUAAUUCAUUGGUGCCUGAAGUUGAGCCUAGCAAGGUGAGGUAGUAGGUUGUAUAGUUUGUGGGAUGGAGUAAAUCCUACUCAGGUGAUAACUAUACAGUCUAUUACCUUCCUUGAGAGGUACAAUGAGUGCUUGGAACAGAGAUCACUGAUACUGAAGAGCCAAGAAGUAAAGGAGCCACUCUGAUACCAUCUUGUGGCCAAAGACUAUCAUCACACUGGAAAUUAUCUACGUUUUGGGACUUCUACUGUGUGCAUCUGGGGCCAUCGUCAAUUAGGAGAAUUAGGAGAAAUAUCUUUGAACAACACUCUAUAAGUGUCUGAGAACUGAGGAGGCUAUAAUCUUGAUGAUCUCACUUGAUGUAGAUUUUAGCUGCUCAACAGUUAGUUUGUUGUAUUUUACAUUUCUGAUAGGCCAAACAUUUUCAGUAGGUGACAAGUCAGGGCUGCAGGCAGACCAGUUUAAAACCUGGACUCUUAGGUGCUAGGUCACGGCCAUCCAAUAUUGGUUUUUGGCCUUGUCCCUUGCAUAUAGAGACUUCUUCUGAUUCUCUGAAUCUUUUAAUGACAUUAUGAAAUGCAGAUUUUUCAGUUCAGUUUUUUCACAGAGUGAUGAACCCCUUCCCAGCCUAACUACAGAAAGAUUCACCCUCUCUGAGAUGGUCUUUUAAUACCCAAAUUGAUAAUAAUACUGUGAGACAUUCCAUCAGGUGAUUUUUUUUUAGCAUUUCUCAACUUUUGUUGCCUUGUCACAACUUUUUUUGUGAAAGUGUUACUGGCAUCAAAUUGUCAUACUUAUCAGUUGUUGAAAUGUUGUGCUAUUUGCACUUUAAUAUAAAGUUGUUUCUUUGUUACUGGGAUGUUUGUCAGAUAUAUUUGCCUGUCAGAUAAAUAAAGAAAAUCUAAACAAAA
This is a long non-coding RNA of Larimichthys crocea (large yellow croaker), 2955 nucleotides long. RefSeq lists it as uncharacterized. The transcript is spliced from 2 exons. The record is from RefSeq and is a predicted model, not a curated record. Lineage: Eukaryota; Metazoa; Chordata; Actinopteri; Sciaenidae.